This 804-nucleotide ribosomal RNA is filed under the name Staphylococcus sp. 48. Its description in RNAcentral is "bacterial SSU rRNA". It matches the Rfam family "Bacterial small subunit ribosomal RNA", at positions 87 to 877 of the family's 1533-position model. The record is from RNAcentral. Lineage: Bacteria; Bacillati; Bacillota; Bacilli; Caryophanales; Staphylococcaceae.
UGACGUUAGCGGCGGACGGGUGAGUAACACGUGGGUAACCUACCUAUAAGACUGGGAUAACUUCGGGAAACCGGAGCUAAUACCGGAUAACAUUUGGAACCGCAUGGUUCUAAAGUGAAAGAUGGUUUUGCUAUCACUUAUAGAUGGACCCGCGCCGUAUUAGCUAGUUGGUAAGGUAACGGCUUACCAAGGCAACGAUACGUAGCCGACCUGAGAGGGUGAUCGGCCACACUGGAACUGAGACACGGUCCAGACUCCUACGGGAGGCAGCAGUAGGGAAUCUUCCGCAAUGGGCGAAAGCCUGACGGAGCAACGCCGCGUGAGUGAUGAAGGGUUUCGGCUCGUAAAACUCUGUUAUUAGGGAAGAACAAAUGUGUAAGUAACUGUGCACGUCUUGACGGUACCUAAUCAGAAAGCCACGGCUAACUACGUGCCAGCAGCCGCGGUAAUACGUAGGUGGCAAGCGUUAUCCGGAAUUAUUGGGCGUAAAGCGCGCGUAGGCGGUUUCUUAAGUCUGAUGUGAAAGCCCACGGCUCAACCGUGGAGGGUCAUUGGAAACUGGGAAACUUGAGUGCAGAAGAGGAAAGUGGAAUUCCAUGUGUAGCGGUGAAAUGCGCAGAGAUAUGGAGGAACACCAGUGGCGAAGGCGACUUUCUGGUCUGUAACUGACGCUGAUGUGCGAAAGCGUGGGGAUCAAACAGGAUUAGAUACCCUGGUAGUCCACGCCGUAAACGAUGAGUGCUAAGUGUUAGGGGGUUUCCGCCCCUUAGUGCUGCAGCUAACGCAUUAAGCACUCCGCCUGGG